UAAGCAGGCCACCUUAUCGCUGCGAACCGAACUUGUUCGGUAAGGGGAGGAAAGUCCGGGCACCGUAGUGUGACAUAGCGGGUAACACCCGUCCGUUGAAAAGCGAGGACAAGUGCAGCAGAAAGUAUGUACAGGUAAUGCUGUAGUGAAAUCAGGUAAACUCUAUGUGGUGAAACGCCAUGUAUACCAGCGUCCCGACCUUGGUCGGGGGAGGGUUGCACGCCCAUGCUGGAGGGUAGGCGGAUCGAGCCAUGGGGUAAUCCAUGGCCUAGAUAAAUGAUAGGGAACCCUGUUCGCGGGGUACAGAACCCGGCUUAUGGCCUGCUUUUUAC
Molecule: RNase P RNA, 332 nt
Filed under: Sediminicola luteus
Lineage: Bacteria; Pseudomonadati; Bacteroidota; Flavobacteriia; Flavobacteriales; Flavobacteriaceae
Description: Bacterial RNase P class A
Rfam family: Bacterial RNase P class A
About the family: Ribonuclease P (RNase P) is a ubiquitous endoribonuclease, found in archaea, bacteria and eukarya as well as chloroplasts and mitochondria. Its best characterised activity is the generation of mature 5'-ends of tRNAs by cleaving the 5'-leader elements of precursor-tRNAs.
Source: Rfam by way of RNAcentral